RNAcentral lists this ribosomal RNA (265 nucleotides) under uncultured bacterium. RNAcentral's name for it is "partial 16S ribosomal RNA". It matches the Rfam family "Bacterial small subunit ribosomal RNA", at positions 96 to 354 of the family's 1533-position model. The record is from RNAcentral.
UGGCGAACGGGUGAGUAACACGUGGGGCAACCUGCCCAAAAGAGGGGGAUAACACUUGGAAACAGGUGCUAAUACCGCAUAACCAUAGUUACCGCAUGGUAACUAUGUAAAAGGUGGCUAUACUACCGCUUUUGGAUGGGCCCGCGGCGCAUUAGCUAGUUGGUAGGGUAAAGGCUUACCAAGGCAAUGAUGCGUAGCCGAAUUGAGAGGUUGAUCGGCCACAUUGGGACUGAGACACGGCCCAAACUCCUACGGGAGGCAGCAG